RNAcentral lists this ribosomal RNA (666 nucleotides) under uncultured bacterium. Its description in RNAcentral is "bacterial SSU rRNA". It matches the Rfam family "Bacterial small subunit ribosomal RNA", at positions 8 to 669 of the family's 1533-position model. The record is from RNAcentral.
AGAGUUUGAUCAUGGCUCAGAUUGAACGCUGGCGGCAUGCUUUACACAUGCAAGUCGAACGGCAGCACGGGGGCAACUCUGGUGGCGAGUGGCGAACGGGUGAGUAACACAUCGGAACGUAUCCUUGAGUGGGGGAUAACGCAGCGAAAGUUGUGCUAAUACCGCAUAAGCUCUGAGGAGGAAAGCGGGGGAUCGCAAGACCUCGCGCUGGAGGAGCGGCCGAUGUCCGAUUAGCUAGUUGGUGAGGUAAAGGCUCACCAAGGCGACGAUCGGUAGCUGGUCUGAGAGGAUGAUCAGCCACACUGGGACUGAGACACGGCCCAGACUCCUACGGGAGGCAGCAGUGGGGAAUUUUGGACAAUGGGGGCGACCCUGAUCCAGCCAUGCCGCGUGAGUGAAGAAGGCCUUCGGGUUGUAAAGCUCUUUCGUGGGGAGCGAAACGGACACGGUUAAUACCUGUGUUUACUGACGGUACCCCAAGAAGAAGCACCGGCUAACUACGUGCCAGCAGCCGCGGUAAUACGUAGGGUGCGAGCGUUAAUCGGAAUUACUGGGCGUAAAGCGUGCGCAGGCGGUUUGUUAAGUCAGAUGUGAAAGCCCCGGGCUUAACCUGGGAACUGCGUUUGAGACUGGCAAGCUAGAGUCUUGUAGAGGGGGGUAGAAUUC